RNAcentral lists this ribosomal RNA (800 nucleotides) under uncultured bacterium. RNAcentral's name for it is "bacterial SSU rRNA". It matches the Rfam family "Bacterial small subunit ribosomal RNA", at positions 202 to 997 of the family's 1533-position model. The record is from RNAcentral.
UCGGACCUUGCGCUAAAUGAUGAGCCUAAGUCGGAUUAGCUAGUUGGUGGGGUAAAGGCCUACCAAGGCGACGAUCUGUAGCGGGUCUGAGAGGAUGAUCCGCCACACUGGGACUGAGACACGGCCCAGACUCCUACGGGAGGCAGCAGUGGGGAAUAUUGGACAAUGGGCGAAAGCCUGAUCCAGCCAUGCCGCGUGUGUGAAGAAGGCCUUUUGGUUGUAAAGCACUUUAAGCGAGGAGGAGGCUACUAGUACUAAUACUACUGGAUAGUGGACGUUACUCGCAGAAUAAGCACCGGCUAACUCUGUGCCAGCAGCCGCGGUAAUACAGAGGGUGCGAGCGUUAAUCGGAUUUACUGGGCGUAAAGCGUGCGUAGGCGGCUUUUUAAGUCGGAUGUGAAAUCCCCGAGCUUAACUUGGGAAUUGCAUUCGAUACUGGGAAGCUAGAGUAUGGGAGAGGAUGGUAGAAUUCCAGGUGUAGCGGUGAAAUGCGUAGAGAUCUGGAGGAAUACCGAUGGCGAAGGCAGCCAUCUGGCCUAAUACUGACGCUGAGGUACGAAAGCAUGGGGAGCAAACAGGAUUAGAUACCCUGGUAGUCCAUGCCGUAAACGAUGUCUACUAGCCGUUGGGGCCUUUGAGGCUUUAGUGGCGCAGCUAACGCGAUAAGUAGACCGCCUGGGGAGUACGGUCGCAAGACUAAAACUCAAAUGAAUUGACGGGGGCCCGCACAAGCGGUGGAGCAUGUGGUUUAAUUCGAUGCAACGCGAAGAACCUUACCUGGCCUUGACAUACUAGAAACU